CUUGUAUGUGCUUGUUUGAUGAUUUGAUCAGCUGUUGACUUCAUUUCAUACUGCUGCCAAUUCAUGACUUGGCUGAUUUGACUUGAGUUGCAACCCCAGCUCCAGGAUUGCAUUUUGCUCAUUUUCAGUCAUGUUAGUCACUAAGAAGAAAAAAAAAGAAAGAAAAAAAGUAGCCUGCUUUUGAGGUAUUUAAGUGAUUCAUGCGUCCGUACAGAGCUGCCCACUGGACAGCCACGCUGUCGUGCUCCUCUCUGCUGGGACAUUUCCUACUGCAAGGCAAAUAUUUUGAAGGUUAUUGGGAAUAUAGAGAAGGGACUCGCUGGGCCACCAAUACCAGUUUCCUGCAAUUACAGCUUCACUACAGUUGUAGCACUGCUGGAUCAUCCAGAGUUAUGGGAAAUGAUUCUUGAAAACCAGGACCUAAGAAGCCAGACCCAGGUCCUCACCAUAACUUGAGUGUCAUCCAAGAGGUAGAAACCAACUCAAACUGCUUGCCACCAAAAACAGGAUUUCAAAGCCUGUGAAAGCCAUCAUUCCCACACUACAACAUGGGCAAGACCUCUGUUGGCAUUGGAGCUGUGGUAGGAUGAGGGCAGCUGCCACAUUUAGGAAUUCCUUCCUGCUGCCUGACAUAUGUGACCAGUGGGAAGCGCCUGACAAGCCGUCAUUUCUACUCUCCAUGAAAGACAGCCCUGUUCUGUGCCAUUCACGUCUGGUUUGUUGCUAGAACAAGAAUGUACUCUUCAAAAUUGAGUUCAGCAUUUUGGAGAACUGCCUCUAUGGACACAAGGGUUGGAAGAAAAAAAAAAAUUACAUAAAAAACAGCGUCUUUCUCUAUUUCUACAGCAUUACAGGAAAGACGCAGGGACUUUAAGGGAAAGAUGCAGCUGAUUGCCCAAUGCUGCUUUCUCUACAGUAUUCAGGUCUCUGCCAGAUUUCCAGCACACAGACAUGACCAAGCUGUGUUUCUGCAUCAAAUGUCAGCUUAUUUGAUUUCUCAGAAUGGUGGAAAUGGCAGUGUAUGAGCUGCGCCUGCAGCGUUCAAAAUCAGUUCGUGUCAGACAAAGGCAGAUUAAAGCAAGGUUUUGUUCAGAAGCUGCAACAGAAGAGUGAUUAUGGAUCAUCAUUUCUACAGGUUCCUCAUUUUUAUCUUAUAACU
Molecule: long non-coding RNA, 1159 nt
Organism: Lagopus muta (rock ptarmigan)
Lineage: Eukaryota; Metazoa; Chordata; Aves; Galliformes; Phasianidae
Exons: 3
Source: RefSeq, a predicted model, not a curated record